GUACACGCUGUGACUAGCAUAUCAAUAAGCGGAGGAAAAGAAACUAACAAGGAUUCCCCUAGUAACGGCGAGUGAAGCGGGAAGAGCUCAAAUUUGAAAUCUUAAAGGGUUUCCCUUUACGAAUUGUAGUUUAAGAGAAGUGGUUUCUGUUGAGGUUUUGGUAAAAGUUCUUUGGAAUAGGACAUCAUAGAGGGUGAGAAUCCCGUAUUUGACCUUUACUUUCAACUUUGUGAUACACUUUCAAAGAGUCGGAUUGUUUGGGAAUGCAGUCCAAAAUGGGUGGUAAAUUUCAUCUAAAGCUAAAUAUUGGCGAGAGACCGAUAGCGAACAAGUACCGUGAGGGAAAGAUGAAAAGAACUUUGAAAAGAGAGUUAAACAGUACGUGAAAUUGUCAAAAGGGAAGCGUUUGACACCAGUGUUGUUUUUCUGAAAAUCAAUUAAAGAACUGUUUAUGCUAAGUUGUUUAGACUUUAUCAGCUAACUGUUUAGUUUUGAGCUUUUCUUUAAUGCACUUUUCAGUUAACAAGUCAACAUCAAUUUCUUCUGCUGUAAAAAAGCUUGAGGAAGGUGGCUUGAGAUUCGUCUUAAGUGUUUAUAGCCUCUUGCCUAUGCAGUCGGAGAGAUUGAGGUCUGCAGCGUAGAUCCUUCGGGGCUAAAUGCAUUUGUGCUAAGUUAUAACAUUUUAUAGACAACUUGUUGACUAUGAUUUGUCUUGUAGCUUACUCGCUUAUGUUAUUUUACCUACGCUUAGGAUGUUGACGCGCGUGUGUGCGUG
RNAcentral lists this ribosomal RNA (775 nucleotides) under uncultured Neocallimastigales. Its description in RNAcentral is "partial large subunit ribosomal RNA". It matches the Rfam family "Eukaryotic large subunit ribosomal RNA", at positions 22 to 639 of the family's 3401-position model. Lineage: Eukaryota; Fungi; Neocallimastigomycota; Neocallimastigomycetes; Neocallimastigales. The record is from RNAcentral.